RNAcentral lists this ribosomal RNA (510 nucleotides) under uncultured bacterium. RNAcentral's name for it is "bacterial SSU rRNA". It matches the Rfam family "Bacterial small subunit ribosomal RNA", at positions 28 to 583 of the family's 1533-position model. The record is from RNAcentral.
AACGAACGCUGGCGGCAUGCCUAACACAUGCAAGUCGAACGAGACCUUCGGGUCUAGUGGCGCACGGGUGCGUAACGCGUGGGAACCUGCCUUUAGGUUCGGAAUAACUCCCCGAAAGGGGUGCUAAUACCGGAUAAUGUCUUCGGACCAAAGAUUUAUCGCCUUUAGAUGGGCCCGCGUAAGAUUAGGUAGUUGGUGGGGUAAAGGCCUACCAAGCCGACGAUCUUUAGCUGGUCUGAGAGGAUGAUCAGCCACACUGGGACUGAGACACGGCCCAGACUCCUACGGGAGGCAGCAGUGGGGAAUAUUGGACAAUGGGCGAAAGACCUGAUCCAGCAAUGCCGCGUGAGUGAUGAAGGCCUUAGGGUUGUAAAGCUCUUUUACCAGGGAUGAUAAUGACAGUACCUGGAGAAUAAGCUCCGGCUAUCUCCGUGCCAGCAGCCGCGGUAAUACGGAGGGAGCUAGCGUUGUUCGGAAUUACUGGGCGUAAAGCGCACGUAGGCGGCGAUU